This 1471-nucleotide unclassified non-coding RNA is filed under the name Hevea brasiliensis (rubber tree). The record is from RNAcentral. Lineage: Eukaryota; Viridiplantae; Streptophyta; Magnoliopsida; Malpighiales; Euphorbiaceae.
GUUUGAUGCUACUGUUGCUGGAAGGUAAAGGUUAAAGCUUUUAUUUUCAAUUGCUUUUCUGCGAUUUCAACUGAAACCUUGUAACUGUCAAUUCUGUGAUGCGUCAGGUUUUCUUUGUAGCCAUUAGGAAAGAUUUAUUUUUUUCGGUUCUGUUUUCAUUAUUUGACUUUGAAAAGUUUUGACUGAUACACUUUGAAUGAGUAGUACUUGAUUGCCUUAAAUUCCAUUAGAGAACGCUUAAAUUAAUUAAAGCAGAGCUUCUUUUGUUGAUCCUUUGCUUAUAUUUAAAAAUCAUAGCUUAUUAUUAAUUUAGAAUGUCUUAAUUUGGGGUGAACUCAGUUACCUUCAUAAAUGUUCAAUUAUCAAAGGUAUUUAACGUCUGAGAAGGCAGUGCUCUGAUGCCUACUUUAAGCUGGGAAUGAAUGUUAUCUGGGUCAUCUUACAUGCAAGUAUAAGCUUUCUUGUUCAAUCACCUAUAUGGUGGUUUGACAGCUUGGAGAAACAGGUGAGAAAUAAAUGAGUUAGCAGCCUUAAAUAGAGGCUUACACUUUUAACUAAUCAUUAUUAUGGAAGUUGCUUUGGACAGAAUUCACUAGUUUUGGUGUGAAUUUAUGGGUUCUAAAUUUGUGGAGAGUUCUCUGCCAAAAAUAAGGUGAGAGACUGAGUUUUGGUUUUUCCGUUGAGUAUUGCUGUAAAGGCUUUCACAACAGAAUAACAUCUAACCGAAGUUUAACUGUGUUUUUAUCAUGCAUGAAUCAUUCUUUUGGCUUCAAUCAUGUACUUAUAGACGGCACAAUACUUACAAGUUUGGGAGUGCUUUAGAUUCCAUAAAUCUACUCUCUGAAUCACCUGAAGAAAGAAAUGAAAAAGUUGCCACAUGCCAAGCUUCCAUAUUGAGAUACUGGUUGAAGAGUCUUAAUGAGAUAAAUGUAGUGAAGUGGGGUGUUAUCAUCUCUGACAAUAGGCCUUUCUUUUAGUUGGAAUGUUUUAAGUAACAAUCUCUCUUAAUUGCCAUAACUAUUAGUCGUUAUUUGCUACCUGGGAUAAUUUAUAGAGGAGGUGUAUUGGUAUAUUGAGCAGAAAUUAGAAAUUAGAAUGGUGAAUUCACUGAAUUGGCACUUUUAUGUGAUUCGUUUUGCUCAGAAUUAUUCUUAUUUAAUGUGGCUCUUAAUGUUUGGUCAUAUUGUUGUGUGUGCUUUGGCUGGUUUGGCGUUACUUUCUUUUGCAUGGAUAACUAUUGAAGAGUUUCUAAAGAAUAUAAUUCCUUGUUUAUGAGCUUUAGUUUAUUAAAAAGGGAAUCCAUUUAAUGAUUUCUUGUAGGAGUUGUUUCGUAUGUUUUUAGGUCCAUGCACUUGUAGAAGUUUCAAGUAUUUGAUCCUCUUUUGGACAUCUUUCUAUUUUCUUUUUGAUAAUAAUUUCUAAUUUUGCAUUCCUUUGUUCUUCAAACAGCAUCACUGUUAUUUUCUUUGCA